AGCUGCGGAAUUUAACCGUGCUAAGGUAGCAUAAUCAUUAGCCUCUUAAUUAGAGACUCGUAUGAACGGUGAAACAUUUCAAUUACUUUAUUAAUUAACUUUAUCAAACUUAAACCAAGAAUAAAAAUGUUCUUAUAAAUUAAUUAGACGACAAGACCCUUUUGAACUUUACUAUUGUUUAGCUGGGGUAGCUAUAAAAUAUUAAUCUUCUUAAUUUUAUUUAUAUAAAUGACCCAAUUCAAUUGAUUAUUUGAACAAGUUACCAUAGGGAUAACAGCGUAAUAUUUUUUAAAAGUUCUUAUUUAAAAAAAUGAUUGCGACCUCGAUGUUGAAUUAAUGUAACUUUAUUGAUGAAGUAAUCAUAAAAGUUGGUCUGUUCGACCAUUAAAACAUUACGUGAUCUGAGUUCAAACCG
Molecule: ribosomal RNA, 415 nt
Filed under: Gibbaranea occidentalis
Lineage: Eukaryota; Metazoa; Arthropoda; Arachnida; Araneae; Araneidae
Description: partial 16S ribosomal RNA
Rfam family: Bacterial large subunit ribosomal RNA
Source: RNAcentral